RNAcentral lists this long non-coding RNA (389 nucleotides) under Gossypium raimondii (Peruvian cotton). Its description in RNAcentral is "long non-coding RNA (GRAI_LNC002830)". The record is from RNAcentral. Lineage: Eukaryota; Viridiplantae; Streptophyta; Magnoliopsida; Malvales; Malvaceae.
GCGUGUUGGUUUCUCUCUUUGCAGGUGCAAGUGGCCGACGUGACAGUGGCAGGUGGAGCAGGUGGCGCGGCAGUGGCAGAGGGUAGGUGGUGCGACGCCAGAGAUUAGGAGGCUAGGGUUUCUUUUUCUAUUUAGGUUGUGGGCUUGUUGGGCCUUAGGGUUUUUUUUUUAUUUUGGGCCAUUGGGUCUUGUAAAUGGACUUGGUAAUUUGGACUUAUUUAUUUAUUUAUUGGUUUUAUUUAUUUGGUUUUGGGCCCGGGCAAAUUUGGCUUGUACAGCUGCCCCUCUUUGCUCGUUGUCGUGUAACGAGAACAGAGCAAAGACUAAGAAAGACCAAUUUUGCCCGGUCUCGCCGAUUCUUGUUGCUUCGAUGCACUCUACUGCCUCCU